RNAcentral lists this ribosomal RNA (315 nucleotides) under uncultured bacterium. Its description in RNAcentral is "bacterial SSU rRNA". It matches the Rfam family "Bacterial small subunit ribosomal RNA", at positions 28 to 334 of the family's 1533-position model. The record is from RNAcentral.
GACGAACGCUGGCGGCGUGCUUAACACAUGCAAGUCGAACGGGGAAUUUUGUUUCGGUAGAAUUCCUAGUGGCGAACGGGUGAGUAACGCGUAGGCAACCUGCCCUUCAGACGGGGACAACAUUCCGAAAGGGAUGCUAAUACCGGAUACGAAGCUUCUGCCGCAUGACGGAAGCUUGAAAGGUGCCCUCAAGCACCGCUGAAGGAUGGGCCUGCGUCCGAUUAGCUGGUUGGCGGGGUAACGGCCCACCAAGGCGAUUAUGGGUAGCCGGGUUGAGAGACCGACCGGCCAGAUUGGGACUGAGACACGGCCCAG